This 253-nucleotide unclassified non-coding RNA is filed under the name uncultured Alphaproteobacteria bacterium. RNAcentral's name for it is "contains 16S-23S intergenic spacer region". It matches the Rfam family "Bacterial small subunit ribosomal RNA", at positions 524 to 776 of the family's 1533-position model. The record is from RNAcentral. Lineage: Bacteria; Pseudomonadati; Pseudomonadota; Alphaproteobacteria.
UACGAAGGGGGCUAGCGUUGUUCGGAUUUACUGGGCGUAAAGCGCGCGUAGGCGGACAUUUAAGUCAGGGGUGAAAUCCCAAGGCUCAACCUUGGAACUGCCUUUGAUACUGGAUGUCUGGAGUUCGGGAGAGGUGAGUGGAAUUCCGAGUGUAGAGGUGAAAUUCGUAGAUAUUCGGAGGAACACCAGAAGCGAAGGCGGCUCACUGGCCCGAUACUGACGCUGAAGUGCGAAAGUGCGGGGAGCAAACAGG